This is a long non-coding RNA of Nanorana parkeri, 164 nucleotides long. RefSeq lists it as uncharacterized. NCBI's taxonomy places the organism in Eukaryota, Metazoa, Chordata, Amphibia, Anura, Dicroglossidae. The record is from RefSeq and is a predicted model, not a curated record. The transcript has 2 exons.
CCUCCGCCCCCGUCCCUGAGACCUGAGAGAAACAAGAAGAUUCUAGAGGUCACCAACAAGAUCAUUGAGCUGCUGACGGGAGAGGUUCCUAUAAGAUGUCAGGAUGUCUCUGUCUAUUUCUCCAUGGAGGAGUGGGAGUAUCUAGGAGGACACAAGGAUCUCUA